This 497-nucleotide ribosomal RNA is filed under the name uncultured bacterium. Its description in RNAcentral is "partial 16S ribosomal RNA". It matches the Rfam family "Bacterial small subunit ribosomal RNA", at positions 28 to 507 of the family's 1533-position model. The record is from RNAcentral.
GAUGAACGCUGGCGGCGUGCCUAAUACAUGCAAGUCGAGCGAACAGAUAAGGAGCUUGCUCCUUUGACGUUAGCGGCGGACGGGUGAGUAACACGUGGAUAACCUACCUAUAAGACUGGGAUAACUUCGGGAAACCGGAGCUAAUGCCGGAUAACAUAUUGAACCGCAUGGUUCAAUAGUGAAAGGCGGCUUUGCUGUCACUUAUCGAUGGAUCCGCGCCGUAUUAGCUAGUUGGUAAGGUAACGGCUUACCAAGGCAACGAUACGUAGCCGACCUGGGAGGGUGAUCGGCCACACUGGAACUGAGACACGGUCCAGACUCCUACGGGAGGCAGCAGUAGGGAAUCUUCCGCAAUGGGCGAAAGCCUGACGGAGCAACGCCGCGUGAGUGAUGAAGGUCUUCGGAUCGUAAAACUCUGUUAUCAGGGAAGAACAAAUGUGUAAGUAACUGUGCACAUCUUGACGGUACCUGAUCAGAAAGCCACGGCUAACUACGUG